AAGGUGUUGAUGGUUCUAAUAUAUCUAUAUAUGGUUUUUACCUUUUGAAGGCGGCCAGAUUGGUCUGAUUUCAAAGACGAAGACUAACUCAGGAAGCUGGCAAGAAGUUUGCAUUUGGGAAAAUAAUUGAGUUGAUGACAACUGUUGCCAAGGCACUUCAGGCAUGAGGGACAACAUAUCUGUUGUGUUCGGCUGGAUGAAAAAUUACAUUAUGAAGUUUUCAUUCACUCCCAUGCCAACAGAAGUUUUAGCUGCUAACAAGAAUAUUGCAUCACAGAAAAUAGCAAACUUGAUGACAACUGAUGCCAAGGCACUUCAGUUGCUGUGUAUGAGAGAGAAGAAGAGUUCAGAAAUUUUUUCUACAAAACCAACUACUUUCAAGCCAAAAUUGGAAGGUUGUUAUAAUUCCCGAUUUUGAUGAAGUUCCAGUAUAUUUUUCCUAACGAACGGAGCCUCAUGCAUGUUG
Long non-coding RNA from Quercus lobata, 466 nucleotides. RefSeq lists it as uncharacterized. The transcript has 4 exons. Lineage: Eukaryota; Viridiplantae; Streptophyta; Magnoliopsida; Fagales; Fagaceae. The record is from RefSeq and is a predicted model, not a curated record.